AUUGAACGCCGGCGGCAGGCUUAACACAUGCAAGUCGAGCGGGGGAAGGUAGCUUGCUACCGGACCUAGCGGCGGACGGGUGAGUAAUGCUUAGGAAUCUGCCUAUUAGUGGGGGACAACAUCUCGAAAGGGAUGCUAAUACCGCAUACGUCCUACGGGAGAAAGCAGGGGAUCCUCGGACCUUGCGCUAAUAGAUGAGCCUAAGUCGGAUUAGCUAGUUGGUGGGGUAAAGACCUACCAAGGCGACGAUCUGUAGCGGGUCUGAGAGGAUGAUCCGCCACACUGGGACUGAGACACGGCCCAGACUCCUACGGGAGGCAGCAGUGGGGAAUAUUGGACAAUGGGGGGAACCCUGAUCCAGCCAUGCCGCGUGUGUGAAGAAGGCCUUAUGGUUGUAAAGCACUUUAAGCGAGGAGGAGGCUACUCUAGUUAAUACCUAGGGAUAGUGGACGUUACUCGCAGAAUAAGCACCGGCUAACUCUGUGCCAGCCGCCGCUGUAA
RNAcentral lists this ribosomal RNA (501 nucleotides) under uncultured bacterium. RNAcentral describes it as "partial 16S ribosomal RNA". It matches the Rfam family "Bacterial small subunit ribosomal RNA", at positions 30 to 523 of the family's 1533-position model. The record is from RNAcentral.